This 568-nucleotide ribosomal RNA is filed under the name uncultured Neisseriaceae bacterium. RNAcentral's name for it is "bacterial SSU rRNA". It matches the Rfam family "Bacterial small subunit ribosomal RNA", at positions 812 to 1381 of the family's 1533-position model. The record is from RNAcentral. Lineage: Bacteria; Pseudomonadati; Pseudomonadota; Betaproteobacteria; Neisseriales; Neisseriaceae.
ACAAUUAGCUGUUGGGACACUAGAUGUCUUAGUAGCGAAGCUAACGCGUGAAAUUGUCCGCCUGGGGAGUACGGUCGCAAGAUUAAAACUCAAAGGAAUUGACGGGGACCCGCACAAGCGGUGGAUGAUGUGGAUUAAUUCGAUGCAACGCGAAGAACCUUACCUGGUCUUGACAUGUACGGAAUCUCUUAGGGAUAGGAGAGUGCCUUCGGGAACCGUAACACAGGUGCUGCAUGGCUGUCGUCAGCUCGUGUCGUGAGAUGUUGGGUUAAGUCCCGCAACGAGCGCAACCCUUGUCAUUAGUUGCCAUCAUUAAGUUGGGCACUCUAAUGAGACUGCCGGUGAUAUACCGGAGGAAGGUGAGGAUGACGUCAAGUCCUCAUGGCCCUUAUGACCAGGGCUUCACACGUCAUACAAUGGUCGGUACAGAGGGUAGCGAAGCCGCGAGGUGAAGCCAAUCUCAGAAAGCCGAUCGUAGUCCGGAUUGCACUCUGCAACUCGAGUGCAUGAAGUCGGAAUCGCUAGUAAUCGCAGGUCAGCAUACUGCGGUGAAUACGUUCCCGGGUCU